AUUGAACGCUGGCGGCAUGCCUUACACAUGCAAGUCGAACGGCAGCGCGGGGCAACCUGGCGGCGAGUGGCGAACGGGUGAGUAACAUAUCGGAACAUACCCUAGAGUGGGGGAUAACGUAGCGAAAGUUACACUAAUACCGCAUACGCACUAAGGUGGAAAGUGGGGGGAUCUUCGGACCUCAUGCUCAUGGAGUGGCCGAUAUCUGAUUAGCUAGUUGGUGAGGUAAAGGCACACCAAGGCGACGAUCAGUAGCUGGUUUGAGAGAACGACCAGCCACACUGGAACUGAGACACGGUCCAGACUCCUACGGGAGGCAGCAGUGGGGAAUUUUGGACAAUGGGGGCAACCCUGAUCCAGCAAUGCCGCGUGAGUGAAGAAGGCCU
Molecule: ribosomal RNA, 386 nt
Filed under: uncultured bacterium
Lineage: Bacteria
Description: bacterial SSU rRNA
Rfam family: Bacterial small subunit ribosomal RNA
Source: RNAcentral